RNAcentral lists this ribosomal RNA (510 nucleotides) under uncultured bacterium. RNAcentral's name for it is "bacterial SSU rRNA". It matches the Rfam family "Bacterial small subunit ribosomal RNA", at positions 19 to 518 of the family's 1533-position model. The record is from RNAcentral.
CUGGCUCAGGAUGAACGCUAGCUACAGGCUUAACACAUGCAAGUCGAGGGGCAGCAUUGGAGUAGCAAUACUUCAGAUGGCGACCGGCGCACGGGUGAGUAACACGUAUCCAACCUGCCGCUUACUCGGGGAUAGCCUUUCGAAAGAAAGAUUAAUACCCGAUGGUAUAAAGAGUUCGCAUGUUCUCUUUAUUAAAGAAUUUCGGUAAGCGAUGGGGAUGCGUUCCAUUAGAUAGUUGGCGGGGUAACGGCCCACCAAGUCUACGAUGGAUAGGGGGUUCUGAGAGGAAGGUCCCCCACAUUGGAACUGAGACACGGUCCAAACUCCUACGGGAGGCAGCAGUGAGGAAUAUUGGUCAAUGGACGAGAGUCUGAACCAGCCAAAAGUAGCGUGAAGGAUGACUGCCCUAUGGGUUGUAAACUUCUUUUAUAAGGGAAUAAAGUGAGGGACGUGUCCCUUUUUGUAUGUACCUUAUGAAUAAGGAUCGGCUAACUCCGUGCCAGCCGCCGC